UACGAAGGGGGCUAGCGUUGUUCGGAAUUACUGGGCGUAAAGCGCACGUAGGCGGGUUUGUAAGUAGGGGGUGAAAUCCCAGGGCUCAACCCUGGAACUGCCUUCUAGACUGCAAGCCUGGAGGUCAGGAGAGGCGAGUGGAAUUCCGAGUGUAGAGGUGAAAUUCGUAGAUAUAGGAAGGAACACCAGUGGCGAAGGCGACCACCUGGACUGAUACUGACACUGAGGUGCGAAAGCGUGGGGAGCAAACAGG
RNAcentral lists this ribosomal RNA (253 nucleotides) under uncultured prokaryote. Its description in RNAcentral is "partial 16S ribosomal RNA". It matches the Rfam family "Bacterial small subunit ribosomal RNA", at positions 524 to 776 of the family's 1533-position model. The record is from RNAcentral.